Aplysia californica (California sea hare) is the source of this 2155-nucleotide long non-coding RNA. RefSeq lists it as uncharacterized. The transcript is spliced from 2 exons. The record is from RefSeq and is a predicted model, not a curated record. NCBI's taxonomy places the organism in Eukaryota, Metazoa, Mollusca, Gastropoda, Aplysiida, Aplysiidae.
GUGAGAGAGAGGGGAGAGGGAUCGAAGUGGGGCAAGGAGUGAGAGAGAAAGAGAACAUGAUAUUCAGUCUCAUUCAGCAUGUGUGUAUUAGUGUGUAAAUAUAUAUGUGUGUGCCUGUGCGCUGGUCAGUGAUUGACCAGUGCUCUUUUUGUCAUUCCCUGGCGACUGUGUUGCCUCGUCCUGCCACGACAGAUACCAGUUUGGGUACCCUCAACUUUCUUAUCAUUAUUGUUGAGGGAACAGUCUUCACGCUUUUGUCACUCAGAUAUGUAGAAAUAUUUGAAUUCGUUGUUCAUUUUAGUUAAACAUGUUUCAUGCUGUAUAUUACGGUAUAUAGGUGUAUGAGCAGUAGAAAGUUGGGCUGUGUGUCAAACAACUUGAGCCAUUGGAUGACUGACUGGGAUAAUCCUGGAUAUCACUGUUUGAUGGUUGAGUAAGUGAAACUGUCAGUGGCCACGUGUAUAAUGUGAGAGGUUUGAAUCGUCCACUGUGAGUUGGCCACUUGUAAUCUGUAUGCUGCAAGUAGGUGAAAUUGUUAGUGAAAUUGUUACCGUCUUGUAUACUGCAAGGGGGUGAAAUUGUUACCCUCUUGUAUACUGCCAGAAGGUGAAAUUGUUACCCUCUUGUAUACUGCCAGAAGGUGAAAUUGUUACCCUCUUGUAUACUGCCAGAAGGUGAAAUUGUUACCUUCUUGUAUACUGCCAGAAGGUGAAAUUGUUACCCUCUUGUAUACUGCAAGUAGGUGAAAUUGCUGGUGAAAUUACUGCUAAUAGGUGAAAUUGUUGGCCACUUGUGCGCUGUGAGUUGGUCACUGGGUGUCUGUGGGUCCUUUGCUUGGAGAGCUGAUUGUUCUUUUGGUUUGUGUUUAUCAUUGUUGUGGGGUUGUUGGGUUUUUUUCAAUGUCUUAUUUGUGUGUAACGGUUUCAGGCUUAGCGGCUACCCGGGCAGAGAGUUCAUUUGACCUUAUGCAGUUGCGAGCACCGUAAAAAAAACUUUUGCAAUAGUAGACUAACAGAGAUCUGAAAGCAGGAGACAGCACUCUUUCCCCACUGAGGAAAGUGAUGGUCUUUUAUGCUCGUCUGUUGCCAAAGUGAUGCAAGAUCUUUAAUUAAUUCACUUGUUUUAAGAGGAAGUCACAGCACAGUCAUUAAAAAAAUAUCGGAAGUUUUAAAGAAUGAUGAUUCAAAUGAUGGCUGGAUCGCUGGUUUUUCUGAUCCAUGGUUGGGGUUUUUGUUAAAAAAAUUUUUUUUUUUUUUUCUUUCUGAAACUGUCUCAACCAUUAUGACCCAACAGAUGACCAACUAUCUCCUUCAUUGUCAAGUCGUAGAUGCAUUUCAUUUGUUUGUAAAUUAUUGCUUUGCCUGUCAGGGCUCAACAGUUGUGUGAUUUGCUGAACCACCAACAGUAGUAAGACAGAAGUUCGGCACAAGUUUGGGAGUUUUCCCUUAGGUUUUAUUAAGUAUUUUGUCGUGCCACAUAAUUUUAGGGUGAUUUUCCUUAGAAGAAAAAAUUAGACAUGACGAGUAUCUAGUAGUGAAAUUUACACAGCAUACAGUACCCUUGAGAAGUACUCAAUAGUUGUUUGAAAUUUCACUUUUUGGCCUUAUUUGUAUUAUUCUUAUAAAUAUUGGUUGACUUAAUUAUUUAGACUUCCAACAGAGCCUUCGUUUUCUCUGUUGGAUUUUUUUCUUUCUUUUUUUUUUUUGUCAAGUCGUACAUUCUGAGGAUUGUUUCCACUCCUUGAAAACCUUCCCAUGGACCUCUAGCUCUCUUCUCUGUGGGCUGCUGUCAAUUGGUAGUUCUCUAAGUAGUGGGCUGGUCCUUAAGAGUCGUCAGUUGUUUUCUGUUUUUCUAUGGGGUACUGGUGUCCUCAAUGCUAAGGACGGGAUGUCAGAUCUGAUCCCUCUGACCGGUGGUCACUGCCCUUGUCCGUGGUAUGAGAUGAUGAAAUGAGAUGAUGAGACGAUGUAAUGAGAUGAGAUGGUACUGUACUGUCCCAGCUGAACUUGCACAGAGCAGCACGCAUCAGUUGCAAACAACUGUCCCGAAUAUUCCCGGGACUGUCCCGGAUUUGAUAAUGGGGAAACCAGUCUCACUUUACGUGGACCCGUUCGUUGUUUGGUAAUCUGAAGGGUUUAUGAAGAAGAAAAAAAAA